AUUGAACGCUGGCGGAAUGCUUUACACAUGCAAGUCGAACGGCAGCACGGACUUCGAUCUGGUGGCGAGUGGCGAACGGGUGAGUAAUGUAUCGGAACGUGCCCAGUCGUGGGGGAUAACGUAGUGAAAAUUACGCUAAUACCGCCUACGAUCUAUGGAUGAAAGCGGGGGAUCGCAAGACCUCGCGCGAUUGGAGCGGCCGAUAUCAGAUUAGGUAGUUGGUGGGGUAAAGGCCCACCAAGCCAACGAUCUGUAGCUGGUCUGAGAGGACGACCAGCCACACUGGAACUGAGACACGGUCCAGACUCCUACGGGAGGCAGCAGUGGGGAAUUUUGGACAAUGGGCGAAAGCCUGAUCCAGCCAUUCCGCGUGCAGGAUGAAGGCCCUCGGGUUGUAAACUGCUUUUGUACAGAACGAAGAGGUUUCUACUAAUACUAGGAGCUCAUGACGGUACUGUAAGAAUAAGCACCGGCUAACUACGUGCCAGCCGCCGCUGUAA
RNAcentral lists this ribosomal RNA (500 nucleotides) under uncultured bacterium. Its description in RNAcentral is "partial 16S ribosomal RNA". It matches the Rfam family "Bacterial small subunit ribosomal RNA", at positions 30 to 523 of the family's 1533-position model. The record is from RNAcentral.